This is a non-coding RNA of Picea glauca (white spruce), 389 nucleotides long. NCBI's taxonomy places the organism in Eukaryota, Viridiplantae, Streptophyta, Pinopsida, Pinales, Pinaceae. The record is from Rfam.
AUUAUAUACUAUGGGUUAAUGUGUUAAUAAUCACCUAACUUAGACCUUGAAUCUACACCCCCUAAUCUUCUAAAUCAUCGACCCAUAAUCCAUAACCCUUCUAAAGACACAAUGUGAUUUAUUCCCAUUGCUCUGCAUGUCAAAGUGAAUAAAUUCAACCAAGCUUGGGUAAGCGACGAGAGUAACUAUGACUAUCUUAAGGUAGCUGUAUGCCUCGUCAUAUAAUUAGUGACGCACAUGAAUGGAUCAUUAACGAGAUUCCCCACUGUCCCUAGCUACUAUAUUCUAUAGAAACCACAUCCAAGGGAAUGGGAUUGGCAGAAUUAGCGGGGAAAGAAGACCCUCAUGUUGAGCUUGACUCUAGUCCUAACCCAUUCAUAGUUUGGGGA